This is a transfer RNA of Fusarium graminearum, 103 nucleotides long. It matches the Rfam family "tRNA". From Rfam's summary of the family: Transfer RNA (tRNA) molecules are approximately 80 nucleotides in length. Their secondary structure includes four short double-helical elements and three loops (D, anti-codon, and T loops). The record is from Rfam. NCBI's taxonomy places the organism in Eukaryota, Fungi, Ascomycota, Sordariomycetes, Hypocreales, Nectriaceae.
GUCGGUGUGGCUCAGUUGGUUAGAGCGUUGGUCUCAUAGAGAUAUGACCCGGUUAAACACCAGGGUAAUCCAAAGGUCGAGAGUUCGAGCCUCUCCACCGACA